RNAcentral lists this unclassified non-coding RNA (200 nucleotides) under soil metagenome. Its description in RNAcentral is "partial contains internal transcribed spacer 2 and large subunit ribosomal RNA". The record is from RNAcentral.
CAUUAUCAACCCUCAAGCCCGGCUUGCUGUUGGAUCUCACCGUUGAAGACACGGUGGACCCCAAAGAUAAUGGCAGAGUCCUUGGACCCUGGAUGCAGCGAGCUUUUUGGCACGCGUCUGGACGGUCGUUGGGCUCGGUCUUAACCAGUUUAUUUUAUCAGGUUGACCUCGGAUCAGGUAGGGAUACCCGCUGAACUUAA